RNAcentral lists this ribosomal RNA (1388 nucleotides) under uncultured bacterium. RNAcentral's name for it is "bacterial SSU rRNA". It matches the Rfam family "Bacterial small subunit ribosomal RNA". The record is from RNAcentral.
GAUUGAACGCUGGCGGUAUGCUUAACACAUGCAAGUCGAACGGAAACGAUACUAGCUUGCUAGUAGGCGUCGAGUGGCGGACGGGUGAGUAACGCGUAGGAAUCUGCCUGAUAGUGGGGGAUAGCCCGAAGAAAUUCGGAUUAAUACCGCAUAAUCUAUUCGUAGUAAAGUGGGGGACUUUCGAGCCUCACGCUAUCAGAUGAGCCUGCGUAAGAUUAGCUUGUUGGUAGGGUAAAAGCCUACCAAGGCGACGAUCUUUAGCUGGUCUGAGAGGAUGAUCAGCCACAUCGGGACUGAGACACGGCCCGAACUCCUACGGGAGGCAGCAGUGGGGAAUAUUGGACAAUGGGGGCAACCCUGAUCCAGCAAUACCGCGUGUGUGAAGAAGGCCUGAGGGUUGUAAAGCACUUUCAAUUGUGAAGAAAAGUUAACGGUUAAUAACCGUUAGCCUUGACGUUAACUUUAGAAGAAGCACCGGCUAACUCCGUGCCAGCAGCCGCGGUAAUACGGAGGGUGCAAGCGUUAAUCGGAAUUACUGGGCGUAAAGCGUGCGUAGGCGGUUUAUUAAGUCAGAUGUGAAAGCCCCGGGCUUAACCUGGGAACUGCAUUUGAAACUGGUCAACUAGAGUAUGGUAGAGGAAAGUGGAAUUUCUGGUGUAGCGGUGAAAUGCGUAGAUAUCAGAAGGAACAUCAAUGGCGAAGGCAGCUUUCUGGACCAAUACUGACGCUGAGGUACGAAAGCGUGGGUAGCAAACAGGAUUAGAUACCCUGGUAGUCCACGCCGUAAACGAUGAUAACUAGCCGUUGGGGGGAUUUACCCUUUAGUGGCGAAGCUAACGCGUUAAGUUAUCCGCCUGGGGAGUACGGCCGCAAGGUUAAAACUCAAAGGAAUUGACGGGGACCCGCACAAGCGGUGGAGCAUGUGGUUUAAUUCGAUGCAACGCGAAGAACCUUACCUGGUCUUGACAUCCUGCGAACUUUCUAGAAAUAGAUUGGUGCCUUCGGGAACGCAGUGACAGGUGCUGCAUGGCUGUCGUCAGCUCGUGUCGUGAGAUGUUGGGUUAAGUCCCGUAACGAGCGCAACCCCUAUCCUUAUUUGCCAGCACAUCAUGGUGGGAACUAUAAGGAGACUGCCGGUGAUAAACCGGAGGAAGGCGGGGACGACGUCAAGUCAUCAUGGCCCUUACGACCAGGGCUACACACGUGCUACAAUGGGAAGGACAAAGAGCCGCGAAGCCGCGAGGUGUAGCUAAUCUCAGAAAUCUUUUCGUAGUCCGGAUUGGAGUCUGCAACUCGACUCCAUGAAGUCGGAAUCGCUAGUAAUCGUAGAUCAGAAUGCUACGGUGAAUACGUUCCCGGGUCUUGUACUCACCGCCCGUCAAGGGCGA